CUACGGGGGGCACCAGUGGGGAAUAUUGGACAAUGGGGGAAACCCUGAUCCAGCAAUGCCGCGUGUGUGAAGAAGGCCUGCGGGUUGUAAAGCACUUUCGGUUGGGAGGACUGCUUCUAGCACUAAUAUUGUUGGAAGUUGACGUUACCUUCAGAAGAAGCACCGGCUAACUCCGUGCCAGCAGCCGCGGUGAAUACGGAGGGUGCAAGCGUUAAUCGGAAUUACUGGGCAUAAAGCGCGCGUAGGCGGCUAGAUCAGUCGGGUGUGAAAGCCCCGGGCUUAACCUGGGAACUGCAUCCGAUACUGUCUAGCUUGAGUACAGGAGAGGAGAGUGGAAUUCCACAUGUAGCGGUGAAAUGCGUAGAUAUGUGGAGGAACACCAAUGGCGAAGGCAGCUCUCUGGCCUGAUACUGACGCUGAGGUGCGAAAGCGUGGGGAGCAAACAGGAUUAGAUACCCUUGUAGUC
Molecule: ribosomal RNA, 466 nt
Filed under: uncultured bacterium
Lineage: Bacteria
Description: partial 16S ribosomal RNA
Rfam family: Bacterial small subunit ribosomal RNA
Source: RNAcentral